CUUCGGGCUUAAGGAGAGAGUUGGAUGCCGCCGACAUUAUUGACGAACCAGGAAACUAAUCAGAAACGAUCCUUUCUUUCCCCUUGUAUUUAUUGUUUCAAACACAGGCAAGAGAUAAAUUCCCCAAGAAGUGGCGAACUUUACGGGUUUGAACUACCGUUCCUUUUGCUUAUAGAAAUUCGUUUCUAUCAAUCAAAGCACUGUUUUAAGCUUUGUAUAUCAAAUUCCAACAGAAAUGAAAUGCGGAGUUUCAGAUCCAGCAACCUUAUCCGAAAGAUCUGAAAGAGCUCUCUAUCUGUCAAUAUCUG
This 308-nucleotide unclassified non-coding RNA is filed under the name Hevea brasiliensis (rubber tree). The record is from RNAcentral. Lineage: Eukaryota; Viridiplantae; Streptophyta; Magnoliopsida; Malpighiales; Euphorbiaceae.